Molecule: transfer RNA, 74 nt
Filed under: Candidatus Pelagibacterales bacterium
Lineage: Bacteria; Pseudomonadati; Pseudomonadota; Alphaproteobacteria; Candidatus Pelagibacterales
Description: tRNA-Pro
Rfam family: tRNA
About the family: Transfer RNA (tRNA) molecules are approximately 80 nucleotides in length. Their secondary structure includes four short double-helical elements and three loops (D, anti-codon, and T loops). Further hydrogen bonds mediate the characteristic L-shaped molecular structure. tRNAs have two regions of fundamental functional importance: the anti-codon, which is responsible for specific mRNA codon recognition, and the 3' end, to which the tRNAs corresponding amino acid is attached (by aminoacyl-tRNA synthetases). tRNAs cope with the degeneracy of the genetic code in two manners: having more than one tRNA (with a specific anti-codon) for a particular amino acid; and 'wobble' base-pairing, i.e. permitting non-standard base-pairing at the 3rd anti-codon position.
Source: RNAcentral
CGGAAUAUAGCGCAGUUUGGUAGCGCACCUGUUUUGGGAACAGGAGGUCAUAUGUUCAAAUCAUAUUAUUCCGA